Molecule: ribosomal RNA, 305 nt
Filed under: uncultured bacterium
Lineage: Bacteria
Description: bacterial SSU rRNA
Rfam family: Bacterial small subunit ribosomal RNA
Source: RNAcentral
UCCUACGGGGGGCAGCAGUGAGGAAUAUUGGUCAAUGGCCGAGAGGUUGAACCAGCCAAGUCGCGUGAGGGAAGACGGCCCUACGGGUUGUAAACCUCUUUUGUCGGGGAGCAAAGAGAGUCACGUGUGACUCAUUGAGAGUACCCGAAGAAAAAGCAUCGGCUAACUCCGUGCCAGCAGCCGCGGUAAUACGGAGGAUGCGAGCGUUAUCCGGAUUUAUUGGGUUUAAAGGGUGCGCAGGCGGAGGUGCAAGUCAGCGGUCAAAUUGCGGGGCUCAACCCCGUACUGCCGUUGAAACUGCAUCC